This is a long non-coding RNA of Bos taurus (domestic cattle), 1778 nucleotides long. The record is from Ensembl. Lineage: Eukaryota; Metazoa; Chordata; Mammalia; Artiodactyla; Bovidae.
GUUCUUUGCUUCUCUCCCUGCAGUGGGUCCUGCAACUUCAGGCUCCUCUUAUCUUUACACACAAUCCAGAGCCAGAGCGAAAGUGAAACAAAAGCUCCAACAGGAGCCUGGAUUGAGUCUUCGUAGCUGAGAUUGGCCAGGUCAGUGGUUCUGACUGGCUUAGCUUGGGUAAGGAGAGCAGGGUGGAGGCAACUCCAACCCAAAGCUUCUGGGCCAGGAGGGGAGGCAGAAUGGCCUCCGGGCAAAACUGUGGUGGGGGAACAUGGACACAGUGGAACAAAACCAACCCAUAGCCACUUGUGGGACUGCAUCCACUUCUGCCUUUCAGAAGUCUGUUACAUGAACAUGGACCUUUGGCCUGCUGCUGCUGCUGCUGCUGCUGCUAAGUCGCUUCAGUCGUGUUUUACUCUAUGCGACCCCAUAGACGGCAGCCCACCAGGCUCCCCCGUCCCUGGGAUUCUCCAGGCAAGAACACUGGAGUGGGUUGCCAUUUCCUUCUCCAAUGCAUGAAAGUGAAAAGUGAAAGUGACGUCGCUCAGUUGUGUCUGACUCUUCGCGACCCCAUGGACUGCAGCCUACCAGGCUCCUCCAUCCAUGGGAUUUUCCAGGCAAGAGUACUGGAGUGGGGUGCCACUGCCUUCUCCGGACCUUUGGCCUAUUUAAUGUCAAAUAUUGGGGUAGAUAUAACAAAAAGUAUAAAGUGGUUUCUGCUUUCAAGGGGUUGAUAGUCUCCCAGAAAUGAGACGCAUAUAAACAAAUCAUUAUUGUAUCAGUUUGUCAAAGGUUCCAUGGAAAGACAGCCUGGGGCAGGAUGAACUCUGAAGGUUUAUUUGCAGUGCAUGAUCCCCAGGAAGCAAGAGUAAGGAAAACUGUAAGUAUAGCUGGGAAGAUGGGGAGCGAGGCAACGGGACACAUCACUGGGCUGGCAACUGCUUCUCAAAGAAUCCUGAAAAGAUGCAGCGGGCCACUGGUAGUGCAUUUUCUCAGCUACUCGGAUGUCUGCACGACACACUCUGUGUAGAGAGAGAAGCCUGUGGGAAAGAAGGAGGACCUUCCUACCUGGCUGCCCCCUGCCGGUUUCCACUGGUUGACUUUGAUGCAAUACAGAAUCGAUUCCGUGCCAAGCAGUUUGCACCAUCAAGCCCUUAGGCAGACCCUGGGAAGCCAGAGGCAGGCAUGCAGCUGGCUGAUCUGCCACCAUGGUCCUCUGAAGACACAGGCAAGCACACGAGGCCGGCAUGACUAACAGCAGAGCACCGGAUGGUUCAGCAGGGACCAUCGUCUUCCUGGAUGGCCCCGGACGUGCUGGGCAUCUCUGUGCUGUGCUGCCCUAGGGCUGGUGCCACUUCCUUUCAGUAUGAUCAGUCUUGGUAUAUGAAAAUAUUCAUCAUUCUUCUGCACCUGUUGAUUUAUACCGUUUCAUACGAAUAUGCUUUGCAAAAUGCUUGCAGUCUGCUUUACUCAUUGUCUCUUGGAAUAGCUUUUAUUUGCCUACUGGCUUAGGCAGCUCUAACAUGAACUUCACAGGCUGAAGUCUCUAACAGGUGUAGAACUCUAGAGUGCUGGGGCCAAGAGGAAGGUUUAUCUGUUCCCUUGCCAGAAAGAGUCUCUAUGGUGUUGGGGCUCCAGCUACAAAUAAACCUACAGUGUAUAUGCCCUUGAUACUUUCUACCUUAAUCAUUCUGUCUCCAAGAGUAAAAACUCAGAAGCGACAUUGCAUAUACUAUACUUGCUAUGUUCGGCAUUCUCAACUUUCUCCCCAGUGUGAAAUAUUUAAC